This 1575-nucleotide unclassified non-coding RNA is filed under the name Hevea brasiliensis (rubber tree). The record is from RNAcentral. Lineage: Eukaryota; Viridiplantae; Streptophyta; Magnoliopsida; Malpighiales; Euphorbiaceae.
GAGAAAGAGAGAGAGAGAGAAGAUUGGAAGAUCGGACAGAAAAUGAUGUUACUAUGGAAUUUAGGGAACAGAAAUGAGAGAUAAGUACAAAUAACUGUUUUUAAAUUGCAUUUACAAUAAACCUAUAAGUCAAAGAAAAUGUGAACAUGUUUAUUAUAAGUUCAAAAAAAAAAAAUCACUAUAUAUGAAAAGAUAUGCAGGCCUCUACCUGAUAGGCAAAAAUUAUUACAGCAUGAGAACUCUAUAGAAACUUUUCAACAGCUCUUUAAGUGGACUCUCAAAAGCAAGGAAAUACCAAACGUUAAUUUAUGUAUUGUUGGGACAAAGCCUUGCCCUUGCCUCUUCCUAUAUAUGGUGUAAUAUAGCCAGCAGCCUUACCCUUUUUUUUCACUAUUUUCCUUUUGCUGGUCAUUUGUCAAAUAAAUAAAAUUGAGAUUAUGGUGGUUGAGAUAUAGAAAUGACAAGCAGAGAAAAUGAAGUUGUCAGGAAAAAUCACCCAAACCAAAGAGAAAGUUAUAACUUCCCUAAUCUACAAAAACAAGUAUCCAAAUUACAAAUUAAAUCAUCAUUAUUUCUCAAGGUCCACAUUGAAAAAAAAAAAGUUCCUUUAUCUCAUUCUCCUUAUAUCACCUAUUACAUCUCUAAAUAUAAUUUCUUUUAUUCCUAGAGCAUCCUAAGUUAUAACCGCAAAUUUCACAUUUCGCUGCUAGUUACUACUAAUUAAACCUCUUAAUGUAAUGUUAUCCUGACAAACAUAACUAAGCAUUCACCCUAGGAAGACCCUUUAUAAUCAACUAAAAAAAUCAGGAAAUUUUAAUAAAUUGGAUCCAUGAAAUUGAGCAUGCAUAAGUCAAUCCUAGGACUAUGAAGUUUUACUUUAGAAGCAUCAAAUAUCUGUCUCAGUUAAGAAAAAAAAAAUCCUUUUUUUAAACAAAAGCAGCCCCAACACAGGUAUCGUUGAUUCUUCUAUUAAUAUCCGAGAAAAAUUUCUGAAUGUGCCAUCUCUGCCCAUGAUAUCAAACUAAAUUAUCAUAAAUUUGAGAUUACUCUCUCUGUUGACCUGAAGGAUGUUAGUACUAAGGAAGGAAUGACUAAGAUGCAUUUAAGCUACAGUACAAUCGAAGUAGCAGAAUGCAAAAGGAGCUUAAAACAAAUAGCAAAUUGGUUCUAUCAAGUGGCAUAAACCAUAUAGGAGUCAGCCCAACCAGUAAGAAACCUUUUGGUUUUCACUGAAGCAUUCCCAAGUGACAGCAAAAUAGAUUGGAAAAUCAACCUUUUGCAGGUGAGGAAAGAUGGAAGAAGAAGAUCAUGAAAAAAGUCCCAGGUUGAUUGACCAAAGCACAGGAUUAAUAAAUAAAUCAACAAGUAAACUAGGAAAGAAGACAAGAAUUUCUUUCUAGAAAAAAAGAUCAAGACUCAAAUGGUUGAACGAAAGAAAGCAAAUUAUGGUGAGAAAGUUGAUCCAUCUAUUAACAAGCCUAUCAUCAGUCUUGACAGCGCAUAGAGGGUGAAUCAAAUUAAGCCACCAUCCAAAAUACUUACGCCAAUACAGUGAAAACCAGAAUAGCCACCAAA